AAGUCCUCAUGGCCCUUAUGGGUAGGGCUUCACACGUAAUACAAUGGCGUGUACAGAGGGUUGCCAACCCGCGAGGGGGAGCCAAUCCCAGAAAGCACGUCGNAGUCCGGANCGGAGUCUGCAACUCGACUCCGUGAANUCGGANUCGCUAGU
Molecule: ribosomal RNA, 153 nt
Filed under: Nitrosomonas halophila
Lineage: Bacteria; Pseudomonadati; Pseudomonadota; Betaproteobacteria; Nitrosomonadales; Nitrosomonadaceae
Description: partial 16S ribosomal RNA
Rfam family: Bacterial small subunit ribosomal RNA
Source: RNAcentral